UGAAUACUCCCUCCGUCCGGAAAUACUUGUCAUAGAAAUAUAUGUAUCUAGACUUAUUUUAGUUAUAGAUACAUUCAUUUUGUACAUUUCUAGGACAAGUAUUUCCGGACGGAGAGAGUAGUAA
Molecule: microRNA precursor, 124 nt
Filed under: Hordeum vulgare
Lineage: Eukaryota; Viridiplantae; Streptophyta; Magnoliopsida; Poales; Poaceae
Description: microRNA MIR1122
Rfam family: MIR1120/MIR1122 microRNA precursor family
Source: RNAcentral